GAUGAACGCUAGCUACAGGCUUAACACAUGCAAGUCGAGGGGAAACGAUAGAGAAAGCUUGCUUUUUCUAGGCGUCGACCGGCGCACGGGUGAGUAACGCGUAUCCAACCUGCCCAUCACUUGGGGAUAACCUUGCGAAAGUAAGACUAAUACCCAAUGACGUCCAUAGAAGACAUCUGAAAGGGAGUAAGGAUUUGUCGGUGAUGGAUGGGGAUGCGUCUGAUUAGCUUGUUGGCGGGGUAACGGCCCACCAAGGCGACGAUCAGUAGGGGUUCUGAGAGGAAGGUCCCCCACAUUGGAACUGAGACACGGUCCAAACUCCUACGGGAGGCAGCAGUGAGGAAUAUUGGUCAAUGGGCGAGAGCCUGAACCAGCCAAGUAGCGUGCAGGAUGACGGCCCUAUGGGUUGUAAACUGCUUUUAUAAGGGAAUAAAGUGAGCCUCGUGAGGCUUUUUGCAUGUACCUUAUGAAUAAGGACCGGCUAAUUCCGUGCCAGCCGCCGCCGUAA
Molecule: ribosomal RNA, 508 nt
Filed under: uncultured bacterium
Lineage: Bacteria
Description: partial 16S ribosomal RNA
Rfam family: Bacterial small subunit ribosomal RNA
Source: RNAcentral